RNAcentral lists this ribosomal RNA (468 nucleotides) under uncultured bacterium. RNAcentral describes it as "partial 16S ribosomal RNA". It matches the Rfam family "Bacterial small subunit ribosomal RNA", at positions 28 to 507 of the family's 1533-position model. The record is from RNAcentral.
GACGAACGCUGGCGGCGUGCUUAACACAUGCAAGUCGAACGGAAAGGCCCUGCUUUUGUGGGGUGCUCGAGUGGCGAACGGGUGAGUAACACGUGAGUAACCUGCCCUUGACUUUGGGAUAACUUCAGGAAACUGGGGCUAAUACCGGAGAGGAGCUCCUGCUGCAUGGUGGGGGUUGGAAAGUUUCGGCGGUUGGGGAUGGACUCGCGGCUUAUCAGCUUGUUGGUGGGGUAGUUGCUUACCAAGGCUUUGACGGGUAGCCGGCCUGAGAGGGUGACCGGCCACAUUGGGACUGAGAUACGGCCCAGACUCCUACGGGAGGCAGCAGUGGGGAAUAUUGCACAAUGGGCGGAAGCCUGAUGCAGCAACGCCGCGUGCGGGAUGACGGCCUUCGGGUUGUAAACCGCUUUCGCCUGUGACGAAGCGUGAGUGACGGUAAUGGGUAAAGAAGCACCGGCUAACUACGUG